CAAGGAAAACAUAGCUGUAAAAUAGAGUCUAUUCUGCUUUCUAGCCUUGACAAAUGUACUUCCAUAGCAACUUGGGAGGUCAGGUUCAAAUGUAGAAUUCUUGGAUUCUUGUAUAAAGACACAGGUCAUGCCCCACAACUGGUUCAUUCUCUGGGGCACUGAUCUGAGUAUAUAUCCUAGCAGUGGGUUGGAGCCAUUCAGAAUUCCCAGGACUGGGAGCUGGAGCAUUGUCUGGAAAGUUUAGGGCAGGAUUACUGGCUACCAGUAGACAUGAAUCCUCUUUCCUUGGAGAGUGCAGGAGGUGCCAGAGGAUGGCUGGCCCCCAGAAGCCUAGGUGGGUAAGGAGGUGUGCAGGCAGUACCCAACCCAGAUAUAGGACAGGACACCUGUUGAAAAUCAGGGUGUCUGUAAACCUGUAGAAUAUAUAUAUAUAUAUAUAUAUAUAUAUAUAUAUAUCUUUGUGUUUAACAUGCAGAUUUGUCUUUUGCUGAAAUAAUAUAGCAUAGGACUAAAUCUUGUUAAAUAUCUAGCAUUCACAUGCCCUUGUGUUUCCAUUCAUUUUGGACUUUCGUCUGGUUCCACUGAUGUUCCGGCUCUGUGGUCAUGAACAGGUUUCUUGCAAAAACCAUGAGGAUGAACUUUGCCUGAGGCUGUGUCCCCCCAAAAUCUUUCAUCCCUCUUUAGAUGUUGGUCAGAAGAGGCCAACAGUUAAGACUGUUUUGAGUCAAUUAGGAAAAAUAGAACUGGACUGGGUAUUGCUAACUUUGUUGGGUGUGAUACUGGUAUUAUUGAGGAUGUUUGAAAAAAAAAAAAAACCAACCUUAAUGAUUGGAGAAACAUGCUCAAGAAUUUAAAGGUGAAAUAUGUCUGCCAGAAUGCUUUAAAACUACUCCAGGAAAAAAAAAAAAAAAGUGUGUGUGUAGGAGGAGGGAUAUAGAUGGGGGAAAAAAAGGGCAAGAUGCAGACCAUGAUGGAAGCUGGCCUAUUGGUUUGUGGGACCAUUUUAUUAUUCUACUUUCGGCGUGAGUGAACAUUUCUCAUAAUAAAGAAGUUAAAACACAAGAACAAAACGCUGUCCUGGAGAGCUGAUGGAGCUCUGGCUGCAGGCGAAGCAGCUGUUCCUUAAGAAUGGCCAGUCUUCACACACCCUUUACAGACGGGAUCCUCAAGCCCCCUUUCCUCCUGGGUGGUUUUACAGCCCUAGACUCGGUUUCCUUCUUUGUAAACCAGGCCUCAGCACACGACUUCCCCCUAAGGGCUGUUUCGAGCAUUAACUGCAGCAAAGGAGGAGAGGAGCUUGGCACGCUCAGGAAACAAUCGGGUUUACAGCCCAGAAAGACUUCUGGCUCAACGUGUCCCCACCACAAAGGCCAAGCUCCAGGGUCCCGGGGGCAGAGUCUGCGUGGCCCUGACUUCUGGCGCGCUCUGGGUCGAGCAGCGAGACCUUGGAGCUGGGGACACCCCCUCCCCACCUCCCCUCGGGCCCUGGGCGACAGGGCCCCGCCUCCAGGUAGCCCCGCCCAGUCCCCGCCCCGUCACUCUUUCGCCUGGUCCUGAAACCGCCUGGCAAGUUGGCCUGAAGAUCUGGCUCUCUGUUUCCUCAUCGAGCCCUCCUCUUGGCCCGCUCGCCUUCUGCUCGCCUCCUGCACGCUGCUGCCCGGGAGGGGAUCGGGGUAAUCGCCAAGACCAGGGUUUCCUUCUGCCUUGGGUUUAAUUGGAGGUGAGUGCAUCCAGUGGGUUCAAAAGUCAUCCGGGCCCCAAGUGUGGAGAGCAGAUCCUGGCCCAGGAGAGGACUUGAGCAGUCAGCUGUGACUUCUCUGUUCAUGAAAACCUUAUUGGCGACCUCUAUCAACUGAGUGAUAUUCAUCCCAGCAAAGCCUUCCAACUUCUGGAGUUUUCUUCUGAUAUCUGGGGAAGCCUGUGCCCCAAAGGAGGUUAAGGCUGCCAGGGGUUCAGCUCUGCUCACAUGGAUGGGACAGAGAUCUGACAGCAGAGGCCAGAGGACCUGGCUCUGCCACACACCUUCAGCCCUGGAAGACUGGAGCCUCAGAUGAUGGACCUAUGAGUGUGUCUGAGAGCCACAGUGUGGUCCCUGAACCACUGGGGUCUGAGUUCAGCAGGGAGACUGCCUUGUCCCUUGGCCUUCAGGUGAUGGUGCCCUUCAUGUUUGCAGGACCGGGACUGUCCGGGGCUGGUGUGCUUUUGAACUAUUUCCAGAACUUGGACUCAACUUCCUAUCCCGUUGCUUUUCUCACCUGGUCACAGUCACCCACCAAGACCGAGGGGCUGCCCUGUCCACAACCAAAUUCCAAGGAUUGGAGGUCCUCAAGAAUACUGCCCAGGGGUGAACCAACUGCUCUUCAGAGUGAAAGCAUCUUUAACAGCCAUAAAAGGAGACAGGUCCUGAAGAAUACUGCAAAUGGGUGAACUGUCUGUGCUUCAGAUGAAGGCAUCUGUAGCAGCCAAUGGUUGGAGUUCUGCUGUCUAACUAUUACCAUGACAACUCCAGGCUUUCAAGCACCAAGUCAUCAGUGACUGUGGCUCUGUGGAAGUAUUCCUUCAACAAGCAAUGCCCUGGCCACUUCUGGAAGCUAAAUGCCCAUCUGGGAACCAUUUGCUUUUCCAUAUGAAGACAUCUCAAGCAGUCAGAGGAGAGAGGCAACCUGGGUAACCACCAAUACCAAGCCCCACAAGGUCAGUCAUAGGUAGUUAAUCAUUAUUUGGGGAUACGAGAAACUGAUUGCUCUAGGCUAGCAUAGGAAUGCAGUGGGAGCUGGCCACCAAUCCCUGGGCAUUCGCUGUGUGAGCGAAAGCCCUACCACAUUUCAAUGUGACUCAAGACCUCCUUAGAAAAACAGCUAGGGGAUCAGAGUGGAUACAUGAUGGGUCAAAGGUCUUCAUUUCCGCAGAGAAUAGGAUAAAACUGAGAGGAAACUGACAUUCCCUGUUGCUCUUCUGCCCACAGUUGAUGAUGCUUCUUCCCAAUUCUCUGGCUUUACCUAUACACCAACAUUUUGUCUGGCACCUUCAAGUGCCCUAUGUCUUUUUCUUGUGAAAACAUUUCUAAAAGGCAAGUCCCAAGGGGCUUUUUGCCCAACCUAUGCCAGAGUCAGGAUGACUUGGCAGGUCUCCCCAAAUAAAAUGAGGGGACAUUACUCUUAGGUCUGGCCUUGAAUUCCCCAUAGUGGGGACUUCAAAAAAGCAAGGGGAUGGGAGUGGGUACCCAGAAAGCCAAAGAUCUUCAUUUCACAUGAGAAUAGGAUAAUUUUGGGAAGAAAGAGAAUAGCACAGUCUCCUACCAAGCUCGCUGUUUUCUGAAGGAACAAACACAUGUGGGCUGGGUAAAUGGGAAUCAUCCAUCUGCUUCAUGAGGGAGCAGAAGGAAAGCUGAGGGCCAAACACAAGCUAGCAUUACCUGACCACCCCCACAUAGGAUAUGUGUGACAUUCCUCAGGCACUCCUGGCUGCCCAAGGGCAAAGAAAAUGACAGAAAACAAAUGGAGACUCCAUCAAUGGACAAGUAUCUUAGUAAGUCACAAGAAAAAGGCAGA
Long non-coding RNA from Leopardus geoffroyi (Geoffroy's cat), 3551 nucleotides. RefSeq lists it as uncharacterized. The transcript is spliced from 8 exons. The record is from RefSeq and is a predicted model, not a curated record. Lineage: Eukaryota; Metazoa; Chordata; Mammalia; Carnivora; Felidae.